AGACCAGUAAUAUCUGAAUAUGAAUAAUUGCAAUAAUCGAUAAGAUAUAUAUAUAUCAAUUCAUGAAUGAAUUCUAGCAUCGAUAGAUCGUAACUUACUUUUAUGAGACUAGGAAUACUGUUCGUUAACGGAUGGGGUUCAGUAUCGUGGGAUCCUAUCUGAAAUCAAAUCAACACGCAAACUUUGAAAUAUCGAGAAAAAUCUUGAUCCUCUCGAAUUGUUAAUUAUUAUUUCCUUCGUUAAAAAUUUUCUUCUUUUCCAUUAUUUUUCCUUCCCUCCCUCCCUCCCCCCUCCUUCCCCUCCUCCCUCCGUAUUUUUUAACAAUAUUGCUAAUCAAUUUUGCAACGUACUACUGUCUCGCUAUCACGUUCAAAACGUGACAAUGGCUUGUGAAAUUCAGCGUAUUCCCGCUGAACUUUGGCCCGCCGACGUGCACGGGCCGAUUCUUUUAAAUUUUUUUGUAUAUUCCCAUCUUGAUAUUUCGAGUUUUGCAUUCGUACUCGACUAAGUAUCGCUUGGUUUUAUACGGUGUGGAAUUGUUGUAUAACCUAUACAUGUUAGGAACACGGCAAAGAGACAAACGAAUCUGAAGUUGAGGCGUAACAGCGAAAUAAGAUGAAUUUAUUUCUCUUCUUUGAUAACGUUAUUCCGAAUCUCGAUAACAUUUUCGAUCAAGACGAUAAUUUUCUAAAUUCAGCUUGAAAGAAUAUCGUCGUAGAUGACUUUUUGUUUCUUUGUUUGUAUCUUUCUUGUUAUUUUUUUUUUUUCUUCGAGAUGAAGAUUGUCCAAUCAAACGUUGGAUACGCAUCGUGCCUUUUAUUCUGAGCGCAUGAAACGUCCCCAAGUACAUAGGUACAGUUUGAUCAAGAGAUGUUGAAAUGAAUCUCGAAUCAUCCUCAAUCAUCUCUUUCGAACGCGUAUCUUGAACAAAGGGGCAUGCUUGCGCAAUGAUGAAACACGAAGAAACUUUGUUGAGAGGGAAACUUUUUCGUAAUCGUCAUUAAAAAAAAAAAAAAAAACGGGAAGAAAAUUAUAAAUUCAAAAUUUUAAAUGGAAAGAUCAAUUGCAAAAAUAUUUCAAUUUGUAAAUAUUGUAUACACAUCUAUUGUAAUCGCAAUAAAAAUUGUUGUUGUACGAUUGUAUCAUUUACUGCCACGAAAAAAAAAAAAGAACGAAGACGAUAAACCGAUAAAAACAAUCUAUAUAACUAAUCUAUAUAUAACCAGUUUACCGUUUCGUAAUGCAAUUUAUUCAUUAUUCCACGAUACGAAAAUACGAAUAUAGAAAAAACAAAGACCUAGUACGAGGCGAGCAGCACUUCAUCAUCUACAAUGAUCCUCUUUCGAAUUGACGAAUAAAUCGACCACAGCAGUAACGAAAUUCUAAGACGAAUAAAAAAAAAGAAAAAAAUUAUUAUUGCUCGUGAUUAACAAAAAAAAAAAACAAAAAUAUGUUGCAAUAUAUAUAUAAAUAUACAUCGAAAUUUACGAAAUGGAUGAACAAAUUUACAAACGAAUAAUAAAUUUCACAGAUCGAUAUUGCGAUCGAUUCUUUCAUAUAAAUGGAUCUUUAAUCGAUUUGGAAAGAUAGCGGAUCGUACUAAGAAACUUUCAAUUACGUUUCACACAACUUUUCUGGUACCUGUGUCACCGACACAAGCGACGGAGGUAUCUCGUUUACGUGUAUCUUGUCAGUCUUCCAUUUCCUUCGAAACGGUUUACACAAUAUGUUGGAGAUCCAAUUGUACCACGAUAUAGAUUUCUCCUCCUCUUCGAUCGAGAUAUAGAUCGGUUUCUGCGUCGACCUCCUCUUAAUCGUUUCCUCCUCUUGGUUAUACAUUAUUAUUAUUAUUAUUAUGAAGAUAACAGAAAAUUAAAAUUAAUUGACACAAAAAACGUGGAUGAUGGACGAGGCACUAAUAUAGAUCGAUUCGAUCAAUAAAAACGAUGAUCAAACAUAAUUAAUAGUGAAUCGGUUCGUUCGAUAUUUUUCAAAGGAGAAAAAAUGAUUAAAAAUCGUGUCCCUCAUUGUUCAUCGAUUUGGGUUUUGAACUUGGAACGAUGAAAGAAGUGACAUGUUCGACGAUGCAAUUUGACGAGAUUGAUAAGUUUACGGAAAAACGUCCAUCGCGAUACUGAAUCUAUAUUAUCAUUGUUGGGAAGAUUAUUCCUCUUUAUUAUCUAUCUACUCUAGCAGCGGAACAUGUCCACGAUAAGAAAUUUCUUUCAACAAGAGAUCAUCUCCGUCAGAUUAUCAAUAGUAAGAAUUAGAUAAUAACUCGGUCGUCACAAGCAGAUGAUUAAUUAUAAAUAAAGCGAUAUCGUUUUUUUCUUUUUGUUUAUCGAAUUGUUGAAAAAUAUAUCCAACCAGAUAUCAUUGUAAUUUUUCACGAUAACAAUUGUCGAUCUAUAAAAAUUUUAUGCCAUUUUAGAGAAAGAAGCUUGCCAUUUUUAAAUAUUAUCGAUUAAUUCGAAAAUAAUUUCGAAGAAGAAAAACUCGUAUACAACGAACUCUCUCCCCUCGUUGAACUGAAUUUCCAAUGAUGAAUAGUGUAUGCUUCCAAAGUACAAGAGAAAAAAAAGUCUCUGAAUUGAAAGAUUACCCUUCAUGAUAAAAAGAAGGAAAAAAACAGAUUCGAUAGAGAAUAUAUAACUAACAUUUACUAGUACUACGACUAACUAUAAAAUAACAAACUUCUCAGACAACAGAAGCAUUAAACGAGAAACUUUCCCUCGCUGAAUCCUACCUUUCGUUAAUUCGCACGAUAAUAUACAAACUGAGCUGAUAUAUCGCGGGAUAAAAACUUGACUAGAAAUCUAUUUUAAAAAAGCGGUCAGACUUUUAACAGACUUCAACUGUGCAUCGCGUUUAAAUCCUGACAAAUCGAUUUACGGCAAAAGAAAGGUAAAAGUACAUGAAAUAUAUGAAAGACUGAAUUUUCAUUUUAAUAAUUUGAAUAAAAUACACGGGUAAAAAUUUCACGAGAAAUAUUACGUUGAUUUCACCAGGGAAAAACAAGCAUGUACGAAAUCCCAAAUUUUUCCACAAAUUGUGCAAGAUACGAGUUCUUCCUCCUACUCCUCCUAGGUCGCUCGUUCCAAGCUCUUCCGGCUAUAGACCGUCUAUAGAUCGUCUAUAGAUAACAGCUUAUACCCUGUCCAUCUGUUUGAUCGAGCAAGAGAAGCUUUCAACGUGAGAGAAGGAUAAGAAGAAAGACGAGAGAAAGAGAGAGAGAGUGAAAUAGCGGAUGGCGUUUAAUAAUUCGUCACGAAGUGGUGAAUCGGUCAGCCUGUUCAAAUAUUUAGGACAGGUUUAGACGGCAGUGUCGUGAUGAUACUUUAGUCAAGCCCCUUCUUGAAAAUUCCAUGAAAACAUUUGAUGCAAGUUUAAUGAGAUCACUCGACACACUGCGAACGAGCCACGUGUUCGGGGAGGGGAAAAAAACAGUAUGCAAUUACUUCAACACAAUUACUUGAGGAAAGGGUUAAUUAUCGGGUAAUCGAAUGCUCGUGAGAAAGAAAAAGAAUGACGAAUCGAUUCUCCCAAUUUCGCUUCUUUCCCUUCCCCUCUUUUUUUGUUCCACAGACCUUUGAACUAGUUUUUCCCUUCCUAUUUCCUCCUGCUCAUUCGAUGAUCGAUAAGCUAAACUUUUUGGAGAAUAUUGGAGAAAUAUAUGGAGCACUGAGAUAAGAUUGAUUAAUAAUGAAUGAAGAAUUGGAAAAAUUGAAUAGAGAAGAACAUAGUACAAAAAGUAUUGAAUUUGAUUAUAAAAAUUGUUCAGUAAUUGAAUUGAUUAAUAGUUUCUUUUUUUUUUUUCUUAAUUAGAUUAGAUAAAUCAGAGAACAAGAAAGAUCGUAGCAUUACAAAAAAAAUAGAGGUCAGAGUAUAUUUAUCCGAAGUAAUUAAAUGGUUCAGAGUGAUAUAUAUAUAUAUAUAUUAAUAAAAGCGAGCAGAAAAAGAGAAGGAGGACACUUCACUGAUGGAAGAGUUUAGAGUCCAAGAAUAGCAAUCGAUCAGAGACGUUAAGAUAUAUUUGAAGUAGCUUGAAAUAGUAUCAAAACGAAUGAAUAAAAAGAAAUGAACGUAAAUGGAUUGAUUAAAAGAAAAAAAAAAAAUUAAUAACAUAUAUAAAAAUAAAAUACAUAUAAUCUAAAUAAUAGAAUGGCAAGCAUAUCCGAACGUAAUAUUAAUUAAUCGUUUACCAAUAUUGAAUAAUAUUGAAUUUGGAUUUGGAUUAUUAAAUUUAAUCUCAUUGGAUAUAUAUACAUUUUGAAAAUUCAUAGAAGUAGCGAUGAAUUGCAUCUAUUCAAUUGCCUCUUAUAUAUCCUUAUGAAAAAUUCAAAAGUGGUACAUUGUUUGUCAAUUUUUAUCUUCGAUUGAAACCACGAGAAAUCAAAUAUAACGCGAUACGGCGAGAUACUUUUAAAUGUCAUUUGUCGUUUUACAACGUUCUACCGAUUACCGAUAGUAGUCCAUCCAAUAAUUAUAGUUUGCUUUCACAUCUAUCGAGAACUUUGCUAUUUUUAACGUUAACGAGGUUGCAAACAUAGUGGAAAAUAUAUUGAACGACCUCUUUUUUUUUCUUUUUUUUUUUUAAAUUAAGAGAUUAUCCAUUCUCUCGAUUAUAUAUAUAUAUAUAUAAAAGGGACAAAACAGAAAUUUACUUACCAACGUCGAAUAAUCUGCAUUUUUUUCAUCGCCAACAUCCUCGAACGACAAUUUUCUUCCCAAAAUAUCGUACUCUGUCUUUCCUGAAAAAAAAAAAAAAUAAAUAAAUAAAUACACACAAUUGAACGAUGAUGCGUUAUUUUAAAAGAAAAAAUUUCGAAGAUAAAAAAAAAUUAAUAUCGAACAGUAUUUAUAUAAUAAUAUUUAUAUAGUGUGUCAUUCUAUUGCAAUAAAACGAGACUUUUUUUUGAAUCGAUUGCAGCAAUUAAUCGAUAUCUUUUCAAUAGUGAAAAUCGUUUAACAAUCGGAUUAAUCGAAUGGAUCGUCACGGUUUUGGUUCAAUAAAUCAACGUUGAGGCUGACAAUUGGAAAAAAUAGUAAUUUAUCAUUCAUCUUUGAUAUCGAAUGAAUUCAUUGGACUGAUUUCUUUAAAUAAGUCGUCUGUAAAAAAAAGAAAAAAAAAACAUUUUUAAUUUCUCAAUUAACUCUUCGUGUAAUACCUUUAAACGUGUUAUCGAUAAUUGAAUUAAAAGUUUUCGAUGAUGACUUUUCUUUUUUUUUUUUUUUUUUUUUGAUAAUGCUUAAUUGAAAUGGAUAAUUAAGAAAGAAUUCGAACGAAAAACUUUAUAAAAAGAAAUGGAAAGAGGAUGUGUGAACGAGGUCGAUCCUUAUCUUUCACCUUUUACGGCGGGAUCAUUCAGUGUUUAUCCGAUCGAUUCGAAUGGAAGUUCAGAAUUUAAAGUUAAUUGAUCGAAAGUAGGACGCCUUAAUUGGACAACCUGAGAGUUAAUAGGUACGAAACAAGCGUUAAAUAUUUUAAAUCGAAGCCGAGAGAAUUGUAAAUUUUUCGAGCAACAAUACAAAUUUUAUUAAUCCUUAAAUCGAUCUUCAAUUUUCUCUCCUCUUGUUGAUUUUUAAAGAAAAAUGAAACGAAUUAUUAAAAAAUAUUUGCUUAAUUUUUAUUCCGAAAAAUAAAAAAGAUGGAUAAAACAAUUUUUUCUUUCAAUCUUCUUGGUUUGUCUUCAAAAUUUUAUGACAAUAUUUCAACUAGAUUGCUAUUAAAUUUUAUUAUAAUUAUAAAAGGAUCAUAAAAUUAUUACAGAAUUUUUUUUCAAGAGAAUUACAUACCAUUGUCAAAUAUUGUGUCAUCCAAAAUAUUUUGUUCCUCGUUUGGAAAAUAAUCGUUCGAAGGAGAUGCCAUGUGAAUUUAUAAGCAGAUGAGAUUAUGGAAUCGUAGUAUCGUGAUACGAUUAUUAAAACGUAUACAAAAGUUUAAGUCGAAUCAAUAAUUGAAAAUUACAGAUCAAAGAUCGAUACAUAUUUAAAAAUCAAUCUAAUAUACGAAUAUUAACAAUAUUAUAGUGCAAAAUUAUUCCAUCGAAAAUAUGAAUUUUUUUUUUUUCAAACUAAGAAUAUGAGCUUUGAUUACAUUGCAAUCUCAAUCUUACAUCAUAUCGAUUAGAGUAUCAGCUGUUUAUUGAUUGAAUCAUAUUUACUAGAUAAGUUUAAAAAGAAUUUAAUCCAAAAAUAGGAAAAAAAAAAAAAGAAAAAUAAAGGAAAACAAGUCUGAAAAAUUUAAAAAUCUAUACACUCCACUAAAUUUUCCUUUUGAUCUCCAAUAUCUUCCAUUCCUACACUGAUCAUGCUUAUCUAUUACUCACGAUGCACUCGAAAAAUAAAUAAAUAAAUAAAUAAAUAAACUAGAAAAAUAUUCAGAAAAAUCAAUAAUAAGAAAUUCCAAUGUUUCAAAUAUUUUUAUAAACGAUUAAUAAAUGUCGAGAGAAAUCAAAAAUUGACAGAUUUAGACAGUUAAUUUGUAUUGUAACGAUGUGUUGUAACCGACUCAGAGACAACGACUGGUCGACAAAACCAAAUUGUGCAGGUUAAAAUUCUACGCGUGAGUGAGUGGCCUCAGGAACGAGAUAGGAUCGUUGGAGAAACUCGUGAUACGAUGAUCAUGUUCGUCAAACGGGAGCACGUUUCAAGGGAACACGAAUAAUGAAUGAAAAAAAAAAAAAAAAAUAUCAAAAGAAAAGUAAAAUUUUGUCGCAAAAUUUAGAGACGCCUCGUUUCUCGCAAAGCAAAAGUGCUUCGAGUUUAUGGCUGGUAUUGAAUUUGUAUUGAAUUUCUUUUCUCACUCCAUAGACAGCUUUGAAAGUAACAGUUUGAUGCGAGGCAAACAAAUUAUAUAUAUUGGUGCUAAUAAUAUUUUUUCCUUUGGCUGUUUAAAAUAUUUGCUUGAUAUAUAUACAUCAUACAUAUAUAUAUAUAUACAUGUGCCUGUUGUUUCAUUUUCUCAAAUUUGAAUGUCGAUUGGCUGAGGAAUUUAGUAUUACCAAAUGGAUCGAAAUGAAGAUUAUCAUGGAGAUUAGUUUCCUUCUGAUAAUUGUACGUUAAAAAGCGUGUAGUUUUUUUCUUUCUUUUUUUUUUUUUUUUGUAAGAUUUUAGCGCUUGUAGAAUAAUUAAAUGGAAGCCUACUAAGUUUGAGUAAAUGUGAUCGAAGAUGUAUUCGCUGAUUUUUGGUAUGUAUAGAAACGAAGAUGAUGUUUACAAUUCUUCACAAUUUCUAGAAGAAAGUCUACUAUGGUUUGAGAAAAAUUACCGAGAGAUUUUUUUUUAUUAAUUAUUAAAAAUUAUGCUUAUGAAGAAAAGAAUAGACGAAAUUAGAAAUUUUUCUUUGAACAGAAUACGCACAAAUUUAAUAAAACACUCGAUGAAACUAUGCUUCCAAACCAAAAAAUAAUGUUCAAAGCGAUAAUUCAAUAAUUGAAAAGAAUGUAUUCAAACAUAGUCGAGACCGAAUCUAGCACACUAGAUUUAAAAUUGCAAUAGCUGUUCAAAUUAUCCGAACAAAAUCAUCAUUUCAUUGCUUUCUAAAAAUGAGCAAAGGCAUUAUUGCCAUUAAUCCUAUCUGAAUUCUGUUCAGUUCUAUUAAACUGCACUUUGGAUAAAAAAGAUAUCUGUCUGUAUAAAAAGAUAAAAAUGUUGUAUGAAGUUUUGAACUUAUUCCUAUGGAUCAACUUUCAGAUCGAAAAAGUAAAAGUAAAUAUCUCCCGCAAGAUUACGUUAUCAGUUUUCGAGCAAUUUACGUAUCGUGCACAAUAUUUUUCCUUAUUCUAUUCGCAUUUAACAUGUAUAUAACUGGCCAUUGUGUUAAAUGUAAUGUGUCUCUAAAUAUGAUGUCUCUUACACUUCAUAUUACCUUUCGACUGAUUUUUCUUUUCUCAAAACUGCUAGAACCAAGAUCUCGCCAAUCUAUGAUAUAUAAAUAGUGAGCUUUGAUAUCUUUGAUUUUUUUUGUUAAUUGAGUUUCAAUAACACGAGUACAAAUGAUGAUUAACAUACGUAGCUAAUUUUGCUUGCACGCUCGCAAAAAGAAACUCCGUAUGGAAUUGCCAUCCGGCAUUAUCUGUGUCUGAUUUGCAUUCGUAACCAACACGUAUCCAAAUAUGUGUGACUCUUUUAUCAAAGAAUCAAUAUAGCGUUUUAUUCGAUAUUAUAUCUCUGUGCCAUCGAGCUUCUUGCUUACAAAAAAAAAAAAAAAAAAAAAA
RNAcentral lists this long non-coding RNA (8219 nucleotides) under Apis mellifera (honey bee). Its description in RNAcentral is "uncharacterized LOC113218601". The record is from RNAcentral. Lineage: Eukaryota; Metazoa; Arthropoda; Insecta; Hymenoptera; Apidae.